AACGAACGCUGGCGGCAUGCCUAACACAUGCAAGUCGAACGAGACCUUCGGGUCUAGUGGCGCACGGGUGCGUAACGCGUGGGAACCUGCCUUUAGGUUCGGAAUAACUCAGAGAAAUUUGAGCUAAUACCGGAUAAUGUCUUCGGACCAAAGAUUUAUCGCCUUUAGAUGGGCCCGCGUUGGAUUAGCUAGUUGGUGGGGUAAAGGCCUACCAAGGCGACGAUCCAUAGCUGGUCUGAGAGGAUGAUCAGCCACACUGGGACUGAGACACGGCCCAGACUCCUACGGGAGGCAGCAGUGGGGAAUAUUGGACAAUGGGCGAAAGCCUGAUCCAGCAAUGCCGCGUGAGUGAUGAAGGCCUUAGGGUUGUAAAGCUCUUUUACCCGAGAUGAUAAUGACAGUAUCGGGAGAAUAAGCUCCGGCUAACUCCGUGCCAGCAGCCGCGGUAAU
Molecule: ribosomal RNA, 450 nt
Filed under: uncultured bacterium
Lineage: Bacteria
Description: bacterial SSU rRNA
Rfam family: Bacterial small subunit ribosomal RNA
Source: RNAcentral